AAACACUUGAGCCCAGGAGUUCGAGGCUACAGUGAGAUGUGAUCCAGCCACAUCUCACUGUAGCCUCGAACUCCUGGGCUCAAGUGAUUCA
This 91-nucleotide microRNA precursor is filed under the name Pan troglodytes (chimpanzee). RNAcentral's name for it is "miRNA". It matches the Rfam family "mir-1304 microRNA precursor family". Lineage: Eukaryota; Metazoa; Chordata; Mammalia; Primates; Hominidae. The record is from RNAcentral.